GAGCCAUGGGAAGUGGCAGAGCACCUGCUUUUCAUGCAGGAGGUCCCAGGUUCAAUCCCUGGCAUCUCCA
Molecule: non-coding RNA, 70 nt
Organism: Podarcis lilfordi (Lilford's wall lizard)
Lineage: Eukaryota; Metazoa; Chordata; Lepidosauria; Squamata; Lacertidae
Source: the annotation of a GenBank genome assembly